GCUGGCGGCACGCCUAACACAUGCAAGUCGAACGCAGUAGCAAUACUGAGUGGCAAACGGGUGAGUAUAAUGUGGGAAUCUGCCUUUUGGUUUGGAAUAACACGGGGAAACUUGUGCUAAUACCGGAUAAGCCUUCACGGGGAAAGUUUUAACGCCAAAAGAUGAGCCUGCACUUGAUUAGCUAGUUGGUAAGGUAAAAGCUUACCAAGGCUACGAUCAAUAGCUGUUCUUAGAGGAAGACCAGCCACAUUGGGACUGAGACACGGCCCAGACUCCUACGGGAGGCAGCAGUGGGGAAUCUUGCACAAUGGGGGAAACCCUGAUGCAGCGAUGCCGCGUGAGUGAAGAAGGCCUUUGGGUUGUAAAACUCUUUCGUCGGGGAAGAAAAUGACUGUACCCGAAUAAGAAGGUCCGGCUAACUUCGUGCCAGCAGCCGCGGUAAUACGAAGGGACCUAGCGUAGUUCGGAAUUACUGGGCUUAAAGAGCUCGUAGGUGGUUAAAAAAGUUGAUGGUGAAAUCCCAAGGCUCAACCUUGGAACUGCCAUCAAAACUUUUUAGCUAGAGUGUGAUAGAGGUAAGUGGAAUUUCUAGUGUAGAGGUGAAAUUCGUAGAUAUUAGAAAGAACACCAAAUGCGAAGGCAACUUACUGGGUCACUACUGACACUGAGGAGCGAAAGCAUGGGUAGCGAAGAGGAUUAGAUACCCUCGUAGUCCAUGCCGUAAACGAUGUGUGCUAGACGUUGGAAAUAUAUUUUUCAGUGUCGCAGCGAAAGCAUUAAGCACACCGCCUGGGGAGUACGACCGC
Molecule: ribosomal RNA, 806 nt
Filed under: uncultured Pelagibacteraceae bacterium
Lineage: Bacteria; Pseudomonadati; Pseudomonadota; Alphaproteobacteria; Candidatus Pelagibacterales; Candidatus Pelagibacteraceae
Description: bacterial SSU rRNA
Rfam family: Bacterial small subunit ribosomal RNA
Source: RNAcentral